This 395-nucleotide ribosomal RNA is filed under the name uncultured bacterium. RNAcentral's name for it is "partial 16S ribosomal RNA". It matches the Rfam family "Bacterial small subunit ribosomal RNA", at positions 523 to 918 of the family's 1533-position model. The record is from RNAcentral.
AUACGUAGGGUGCAAGCGUUAAUCGGAAUUACUGGGCGUAAAGCGUGCGCAGGCGGUUUUGUAAGACAGAGGUGAAAUCCCCGGGCUCAACCUGGGAACUGCCAUUGUGACUGCAAGGCUGGAGUGCGGCAGAGGGGGGUGGAAUUCCGCGGGUAGCAGUGAAAUGCGUAGAUAUGCGGAGGAACACCGAUGGCGAAGGCAAUCCCCUGGGCCUGCACUGACGCUCAUGCACGAAAGCGUGGGGAGCAAACAGGAUUAGAUACCCUGGUAGUCCACGCCCUAAACGAUGUCAACUGGUUGUUGGGGAUUUAUUUUCUCAGUAACGAAGCUAACGCGUGAAGUUGACCGCCUGGGGAGUACGGCCGCAAGGUUAAAACUCAAAUGAAUUGACGGGG